This 61-nucleotide ribosomal RNA is filed under the name Nematalosa erebi (Australian river gizzard shad). RNAcentral describes it as "partial 16S ribosomal RNA". The record is from RNAcentral. Lineage: Eukaryota; Metazoa; Chordata; Actinopteri; Clupeiformes; Clupeidae.
ACUAAACAGCUAGCUCAACCCAACACGACCAAGCCUACAACAUACACUAGUCUAAUAAAAA